CUGCUCCUCCACAGCGCCGCCGCCAGCCCACGCUCCCGCUGCCACCGCUCCUCCACCGCGCCCGCCGCCAGCCGCUCCUCCACCGCGCCCGCCGCUAGCCCGCUCCUCCACCGCGCCCCCACUCCUCCACCUCCACCUCCACCACGCGCGUCCGCCAGACCGCGCGCCGCCACCUCCACCCUAGCUGCGGUUCCUCCUCCAGAUCCCGGCGGCCCGGCCCCAUGGCCGCCCUCGUUUCUAGCUCCAGCUUCUCCGCUCUCUAGCUCCGGAUCGCACGCGCACGUAAAGACACGGAGCCCGCAGCCAAGGAUGCCGCAGCCGCUGUGCCGGACUCGUGGGAGACGGCCGACAUAG
Molecule: unclassified non-coding RNA, 354 nt
Filed under: Zea mays
Lineage: Eukaryota; Viridiplantae; Streptophyta; Magnoliopsida; Poales; Poaceae
Description: misc RNA Zm00001eb241650
Source: RNAcentral